This is a non-coding RNA of Populus trichocarpa (black cottonwood), 121 nucleotides long. Lineage: Eukaryota; Viridiplantae; Streptophyta; Magnoliopsida; Malpighiales; Salicaceae. The record is from Rfam.
UAAUCUUUUUAGAUUAGAUCCUCAUCCAAUAAUAUCAUAUUGUCACCGGAAUGCUUAAAGCCAACCGUGUGUGUAAGCCCGACUACAUCAAAUUGUUUAGAGAUGCUUUUAGAAAAUCAAU